RNAcentral lists this transfer RNA (70 nucleotides) under Dipodomys ordii (Ord's kangaroo rat). It matches the Rfam family "tRNA". Rfam says of the family: Transfer RNA (tRNA) molecules are approximately 80 nucleotides in length. Their secondary structure includes four short double-helical elements and three loops (D, anti-codon, and T loops). The record is from Rfam by way of RNAcentral. Lineage: Eukaryota; Metazoa; Chordata; Mammalia; Rodentia; Heteromyidae.
GGAAAUGUGGCUUAGUGGAAGAGUGCUUGCCUAGCAUGCAUGAAGCCCUGGGUUCAAUUCCUCAGUACCA